Molecule: long non-coding RNA, 1648 nt
Organism: Etheostoma cragini (Arkansas darter)
Lineage: Eukaryota; Metazoa; Chordata; Actinopteri; Perciformes; Percidae
Exons: 2
Source: RefSeq, a predicted model, not a curated record
ACAACCAACCAAACAUACCAAACAUAAGCAGAAGAGCCUUUUUCUGGGCAGUGAAUGACGAACGUUACUGCUUUUGCGUCAUACUGAAGCUCACGUUGACCGCCAUGUUUAGGAAGAUUCAUUAGCGCAAUUUUAACGUCCAGCAAUGACACUCACUUUACCAGGAAAAAAUUCGUUUUUUUCCUCCUAAACACGAGUCAACUGAUGUGAAAUUUGAAAGGUGGAAGCAGCUUCGGACUUCCCGGAGUUGGCAUUAUAUUUGUUGGAAAGCCGCCAUCCCAACCCCUUAUCCUCUCCCCACCCCUCUACCAGUCUUUGUCUCCUCCAGAGUCUCGAGGAGCUUGAUAUGGAGCUUAUGGGAAAAAGGAGGAAGAUCAAUCCUUGUGUCAGCAGCUCAGCACACAUCUCUCCCAGUAACGGCAGGACAAGUGUCAGCUGGAGGAGAUGCAGCCGCCAUGCAGAGAGAGAGAAAGAGAGAGUGAGUGAACAAAGGGGUUGAGGGGAUGGUGGUGGGAGGAUGAGAAAGAGAGCCCUCUGCACGGCAGCCAAGCAAGUGAGCAAGCGAGCGGCCCAGCCCAAGGGAGUGCACCUCCAGUAGACAAAAGAUCAAUUCUCUCCAUUUCACUCUCAGCUCCUGAUAACAAGCAAAAGCUGUCUUGCCUUUGAAAUGUGCAUUCUGGUGUGCUACACACAUGCAGUUGCACAGUUACACUCUCAUACAGAUGGCAUACACACAAACACAGUCACACACUUAUAUUUGAAGGCUAAGUGGUUUCAGGAGUGAUAAGAAAUAAUUAGGGAUGCAUUGACUGUGUAAUUCUGGGCCGAUACUGAUGUUUAAAAUACACAAUUAGGCAGAUGUUUUUGUUGUUUCUUUUGUUUUUGUUGUUAUUUCCCCCUUUUGUGCCAGUAAAACACAGAUUAAUUCAUCUAUUCAAGAACAUAUUUUUUCUUUUUAGGCAUGUGCCGAUUGGUGAGCAGAUAGUCAGCGUUUAAAGGGAUGAUUGACUAUUUGUGUUUUCCUACGCCAAUUAGAGUGACAAUUUCAACUUACUAUCAAAUCUAAGAUGUUAUAAAAAUAAUUUUAGAGUCUGCGCCCUAUUGUGCAUUUAGUAAUGUUUCUGGGGGAGUGGCUUGUCUGUCUGCUGAGCCGCAUGAGUGAACAUUUUAUUUUCCGUCUCUUUUUUCAUGGAUGUGACACAUCUCCAUUCUCCAUUAGCAUGUGCUCACCUAAACUAUGCUCCGCGCUCCAUAAGAGUAGUUAUUGCAAUGGACAUAGGCAGAAUUUGACAUUCGAGCCGGGGGACAAAAAAAAUAAAGAAAACUAAUUGUAGCAGCUGAGACCUGGCCUACUACUUGGGGAACACAGCACGAGCACAUGUGAACAAAACAAACAAUUUUAAAUUACAUUCAAACAAUUUAACAGUUUGCCCUUAUAAAAUCCAAUUGAGGCACAGUUGUCUUGGAACGCAGUAAGCAGAAGGUGGUGGAAUGCCCUGACACUUACAUUCAGCUGAAAUGUAACAGUGAACAAUCAGUGUUGGACCUAUAGUCCGUUGAGAUGCCUCUCCAAACGCAGAAACAAAGCACAAUCACACCAUGAAACCUUUAAGAAAAAAGAUCCGUAUUUUGACAUGACUCAAUGACA